UUAUUUUUUCUUUUUGCUACACCAUUUUGUUGAGGGGUGUAAGCACAAGAACUCUGAUACCAUGAAGAAGAUUGAGAGUUUGGGACAGAGGAGAAUCCUCUGUUAUUAUUAUUGGGCACAAAGGUGCCAAUUUAUAGGCAUUCGGCCAGAACAAACAAACGAGAUUAUGGAAAAUAUUCUAACAGGUUAACGGGUUGCAAUGGUAGUGAGCAUUUUCUAGCAGUCAUAACAAUCUAGUAAAAUACUAAUUUACCCCCUAGUGUAUUUACAUUUCUACAAAAAUGAAUGCCAGUAAGAGUUUUGCUGUUUUUAGCAGCUAACUUUUGUUGAUAUUUGGAGUUAAAUGUAAGGAACUUUUGUUGAUAUAUGGAUAAUCCUUCUUGCUUCAAGGGAAACUAAGAGAAAAUAAAGUGUGCAAAUUGAAAAAAUUGCUAUAUAGUUUAAAGCAAUUACCAAGAGCCUGGUUUGGAAGAUUUGUCAAAAUAACGCGUAAAACCAAAUACAAAAAUAUCUAGUGAGAUUAUAUACUCCUUAUAAAGCACUUGGAUUCAGAGGAAGUCUCUUGGUAUGUUUUAAUAUAAUUGUGACAGGGAAUGAAGAGAGAGAAGAAAACAUUGGGGAGAUGUCUAGUUGGAUAAUUAGAGACAAAAGAACUUAAGAGAGUGAAAUGAAACUAGGAAUUGAAGUAGCUUAUUUGAGGGAAGACAUCUUUAUUCAUAGCAGAAGUACAUGACCAAUUUCCUAAGAAAACAGAGAAGUUAGCAUAUAAACUUGUUUCCAUGACUACUGAGCAAAAUCAAAAAUUGUGAGAAAGCAAAUGAAGAUGCAGUUGUGGAAAAAGAGAUGUAUCCAGGGACUGGUAGGAACACUUAUUACUCAUACAAUGCCAUACAUUAAAUAUGCUAUGAGUGUGUUUAGUUAAUUUUUACAUAGCUUGAGAGAGGUUCACCUUUAUGCAAUCUACAAAAUGCUAAUGUUACUUAAAGUCUAAUCCUAGCAAAGGAAUUUUAUUCAGAAGGGCCACUAGAUUAGUAAUUGAUGCAUACACCUAGGCAGAUUAUGCAGACUCACAAGUUGAUAUGCAGUCUACUAUCAAUUAUUGUAGUUUCCUUGGAGGCAAUCUUUUAAACUGGAGGAGUAAGAAACAGUGUGGUUGCUAGAUCAAGUGCAGAGGGAGAGUUAGGACAUUGAUGUAGGGAGUGCAUGUAUUAUUCUGACUUAACAUAGUUGUGGAAAAUUCAAGGAUUAAAUGAGAUGGGCCAAUAAACUUAUUUUUAUGACAGGUCUGUCUUUAACAUUUUUCACAAUUCUAUGCAAUAUGACAAAACUAUGCAUGCUGAAGUACAUAGACACUAUGUAAGGGA
Molecule: long non-coding RNA, 1364 nt
Filed under: Carica papaya (papaya)
Lineage: Eukaryota; Viridiplantae; Streptophyta; Magnoliopsida; Brassicales; Caricaceae
Description: long non-coding RNA (CPAP_LNC013708)
Source: RNAcentral